GUCCCUGUAGUUUAAUGGAUAAAACGGCUCCCUCCUAAGGAGCAGAUCCAGGUUCGAUUCCUAGUGGGGACA
RNAcentral lists this transfer RNA (72 nucleotides) under Candidatus Wolfebacteria bacterium. RNAcentral describes it as "tRNA-Arg". It matches the Rfam family "tRNA". From Rfam's summary of the family: Transfer RNA (tRNA) molecules are approximately 80 nucleotides in length. Their secondary structure includes four short double-helical elements and three loops (D, anti-codon, and T loops). The record is from RNAcentral. Lineage: Bacteria; Candidatus Wolfeibacteriota.